UUAUUGGAGAGUUUGAUCCUGGCUCAGGACGAACGCUGGCGGCGUGCCUAAUACAUGCAAGUCGAGCGAAUCUGAGGGAGCUUGCUCCCAAAGAUUAGCGGCGGACGGGUGAGUAACACGUGGGCAACCUGCCUGUAAGACUGGGAUAACUUCGGGAAACCGGAGCUAAUACCGGAUAAUCCUUUUCUACUCAUGUAGAAAAGCUGAAAGAUGGCUUCGGCUAUCACUUACAGAUGGGCCCGCGGCGCAUUAGCUAGUUGGUGAGGUAACGGCUCACCAAGGCGACGAUGCGUAGCCGACCUGAGAGGGUGAUCGGCCACACUGGGACUGAGACACGGCCCAGACUCCUACGGGAGGCAGCAGUAGGGAAUCUUCCGCAAUGGACGAAAGUCUGACGGAGCAACGCCGCGUGAGUGAUGAAGGUUUUCGGAUCGUAAAACUCUGUUGUUAGGGAAGAACAAGUACCGUUCGAAUAGGGCGGUACCUUGACGGUACCUAACCAGAAAGCCACGGCUAACUACGUGCCAGCAGCCGCGGUAAUACGUAGGUGGCAAGCGUUGUCCGGAAUUAUUGGGCGUAAAGCGCGCGCAGGUGGUUUCUUAAGUCUGAUGUGAAAGCCCCCGGCUCAACCGGGGAGGGUCAUUGGAAACUGGGAGACUUGAGUGCAGAAGAGGAAAGUGGAAUUCCAAGUGUAGCGGUGAAAUGCGUAGAGAUUUGGAGGAACACCAGUGGCGAAGGCGACUUUCUGGUCUGUAACUGACACUGAGGCGCGAAAGCGUGGGGAGCGAACAGGAUUAGAUACCCUGGUAGUCCACGCCGUAAACGAUGAGUGCUAAGUGUUAGAGGGUUUCCGCCCUUUAGUGCUGCAGCAAACGCAUUAAGCACUCCGCCUGGGGAGUACGGCCGCAAGGCUGAAACUCAAAGGAAUUGACGGGGGCCCGCACAAGCGGUGGAGCAUGUGGUUUAAUUCGAAGCAACGCGAAGAACCUUACCAGGUCUUGACAUCCUCUGGCAAUCCUAGAGAUAGGACGUUCCCCUUCGGGGGGACAGAGUGACAGGUGGUGCAUGGUUGUCGUCAGCUCGUGUCGUGAGAUGUUGGGUUAAGUCCCGCAACGAGCGCAACCCUUGAUCUUAGUUGCCAGCAUUCAGUUGGGCACUCUAAGGUGACUGCCGGUGACAAACCGGAGGAAGGUGGGGAUGACGUCAAAUCAUCAUGCCCCUUAUGACCUGGGCUACACACGUGCUACAAUGGAUGGUACAAAGGGCUGCAAGACCGCGAGGUUUAGCCAAUCCCAUAAAACCAUUCUCAGUUCGGAUUGCAGGCUGCAACUCGCCUGCAUGAAGCCGGAAUCGCUAGUAAUCGCGGAUCAGCAUGCCGCGGUGAAUACGUUCCCGGGCCUUGUACACACCGCCCGUCACACCACGAGAGUUUGUAACACCCGAAGUCGGUGGGGUAACCGCAAGGAGCCAGCCGCCUAAGGUGGGACAGAUGAUUGGGGUGAAGUCGUAACAAGGUAGCCGUAUCGGAAGGUGCGGCUGGAUCACCUCCUUU
This 1552-nucleotide ribosomal RNA is filed under the name Cytobacillus solani. Its description in RNAcentral is "bacterial SSU rRNA". It matches the Rfam family "Bacterial small subunit ribosomal RNA". The record is from RNAcentral. Lineage: Bacteria; Bacillati; Bacillota; Bacilli; Caryophanales; Bacillaceae.